GAUGAACGCUGGCGGCGUGCUUAACACAUGCAAGUCGAACGAAGCGCUUAAACGGAUUUCUUCGGAAUGAAGUUUUUGCGACUGAGUGGCGGACGGGUGAGUAACGCGUGGGUAACCUGCCUCAUACAGGGGGAUAACAGUUAGAAAUGACUGCUAAUACCGCAUAAGCGCACAGUGCUGCAUGGCACAGUGUGAAAAACUCCGGUGGUAUGAGAUGGACCCGCGUCUGAUUAGCUAGUUGGUGGGGUAACGGCCUACCAAGGCGACGAUCAGUAGCCGGACUGAGAGGUUGAACGGCCACAUUGGGACUGAGACACGGCCCAG
Molecule: ribosomal RNA, 324 nt
Filed under: uncultured bacterium
Lineage: Bacteria
Description: bacterial SSU rRNA
Rfam family: Bacterial small subunit ribosomal RNA
Source: RNAcentral